GACGAACGCUGGCGGCGUGCCUAACACAUGCAAGUCGAACGGACAGACCCUGCUCUUGUGGGGUGCUCGAGUGGCGAACGCGUGAGUAACACGUGAGUAACAUGUCCUUGUCUUUGGGAUAACUCCUGGAAACUGGGGAUCAUACAGGAUAGGAGCUCCUGCACCACGGUGGUGGUUGGAAAGUUUCGGCGGUUGGGGAUGGACUCGCGGCUUAUCAGCCGGUUGGUGGGGUAGUGGCUUACAAAGGCUUUGACGGGUAGCCGGCCUGAGAGGGUGACCGGCCACAUUGGGACUGAGAUACGGCCCAGACUCCUACGGGAGGCAGCAGUGGGGAAUAUUGCACAAUGGGCGGAAGCCUGAUGCAGCAACGCCGCGUGCGGGAUGACGGCCUUCGGGUUGUAAACCGCUUUCGCCUGUGACGAAGCGUGAGUGACGGUAAUGGGUAAAGGAGCACCGGCUAACUACGUG
RNAcentral lists this ribosomal RNA (468 nucleotides) under uncultured bacterium. Its description in RNAcentral is "partial 16S ribosomal RNA". It matches the Rfam family "Bacterial small subunit ribosomal RNA", at positions 28 to 507 of the family's 1533-position model. The record is from RNAcentral.